This is a non-coding RNA of Parasteatoda tepidariorum (common house spider), 754 nucleotides long. The record is from RefSeq and is a predicted model, not a curated record. Lineage: Eukaryota; Metazoa; Arthropoda; Arachnida; Araneae; Theridiidae.
AUUUUUCAUGUUAUUUUUUAUAGGGUCUCUGGAUUACGUAGAGAAAGCGAUGAGCUGUUUUUGAAAGAAAAAGUGCCACCUCUUUCACUAGAACUUGUGAACAAUUUAUGCCUUGACUCAUUAAUAUGCAGUCUUGUGAGUACUCGAGAUGAGCUUAUGGUUACCACUCUAGAUGGUAAUUUUUGGCGGGUAAGAUGAGAUGCCAAAUUAGAUGAGGAUUACACUCUAAUUUUAUACAAUAUCUCAUUUCGCUUAGAUCAGCUGCAAUCUAGAGGGAAGGAUUGAUGAAAUGUGUUCAAGAACUUUCUGUUGAGAUAGAAAACCAAGCCUCACUUCAUGAAACUGAGUUGCAGAUGCUUCAAGAUCAGUUAAAUCAUUAUAAAAAAUCUGCUGAUGACUUACAAAAGAAGACUAUUGAUUUGCAAAGUGAUAUCUCCUCUCGUAGUAACGAUACAGCUAGAUUUUCAAAAAAGAUUUUAGACUUGGAAGGCCAACUAUGCAUAAUUAAGGAGGAAGCUGCAGCUCACAUCACUCAAAUAUCUUCAUUAAAAUCUAGUAAUUUAAAACUAACACUUUCCCUUGAAGAAGCAGUGAAAAAGUGUGAAAACUCUGAGAAAUCAAUCAAAGAACUUUACAAUGAAAAAUAAAGUGAAAAAGCUAAAUAUGAUCAUGAAAAGAUAAAAAUGCAAGAAACUAUUUCCCAGCAGGCAAAACUUAUUGAUUUUCUCCAAGAGAAAACUGAGAAUAUGGAAAA